UAUGUAUGCACGGGCCCCAUGUGUUACAAGGUUGAGGGCCAAGGUCACGCCACCUCGUCCUGUAAUCCCGGGUUGUGUAGUAGAACUCUUGUUGUUGUACCUCUUGGCAUUGUGUUCCACAGAUGCUCAUCAGCUUCAGAAAAUCAACAAGAAAAGGUCAAAAUCAGGGAAAGGUACGAAGAUAGAAGCAGCAAGAAAUAUUAAUUGCGAUUGGUAAUAAUUUCCAUAUCAUAUCUUGAAAACAAAAUUUAUCAAACUUUCUUCUACGAGUUCAGUAAUGAACCAGUCCAAGGUAGUUUGCCUAAAAAAAUAAGAAACUUUUCUUCUAUACCCUCUGAAUAUCGCUAUAUUCAUGGUAAUAACGCCAGCCGUAUAUGUGCGUAUAUCUCCAUUUGCAGUGCCCUCCAACAUACCACACAAAACCUCCCAGUUAAAAUAGAAAUCAUAAUUAUUUCCCAAGAAAACCAUUCUUUUUGUGUAAUGCUCUCCUCUUCCACACAUAAAAUAAGAUUAUCAUCCGAAUCAAGUGCGUUUAAUGUCGAUUGAUGUACAUUGUUGGGCCUUCGGUGUAUCUAUAUGUUGUUCCAAUGAUUUUCAUGCUCUUACAGUACAAAUCUCAUAAAGCUUCACGGAUAACAAUUCAUCUCCGUCAGACCGUUCUCUGAUACCAAGGGACGUAGAUACAAGUGAGAAAGAAUGUAGCUAGUGACGAAUUUGUGGAGAAUGGCCAACAAUCAAAGAAAAGAAGAGAGAGGUUGAGAUAAGAGUGGCUGAAUUGAAUGACACGUGUGGCAAAAAUAGAACAGAUGUAAUUGUAAGGGAUUAACAAAUGGUUAUCCAAGUUUUGUUCGGACAGAAUCCAAUUCAAGCCAAAGUCAGGAUAGACAUACAGAAGCAAA
RNAcentral lists this long non-coding RNA (899 nucleotides) under Olea europaea (common olive). Its description in RNAcentral is "long non-coding RNA (OEUR_LNC001530)". The record is from RNAcentral. Lineage: Eukaryota; Viridiplantae; Streptophyta; Magnoliopsida; Lamiales; Oleaceae.